AUGGAGGGCUUGAACUCAUGACCCUGAGCUUGAGACCUGAGCUGAGAUCAAGAGUCAGAUGGAUCCUUGCUGAUGAAAUGACCAUUAUCUGGAAUAUUUCUGGUCUUCCUGGCUGAGGGAAAGAGACCUCUGGCAAUCACGUGCUCUGGCAUGAAGAUGCAGGUGCCACUUCCUCUCACACCUCAUUAGAAAGUGUCCACUAGAAAGUGCUGGUCACAUGGUAUCAGCUCACCACAGAGGGACCAGGCCAUGCAGCCCUCCUGUGUGGUCGAAGAUGGAGUGGAAUUGGUGACUACUCACUUGAGUGAAAACCAUCAUAUGCAUCCCAUUUACCAUAAUUCUAAGUAUUCAGUUUUGUAGUUUAUUCUCUAAAUAAUGAGUAACAGCAUUUGGUAUUGGUGAUUAUAUCCUGCAUAAAUGGCCUGGCAUCAUGUUACUGGAUUUUGCUAUGAUUUCUGCAAAAUAAAAAAUAUUCACCUUUU
Molecule: long non-coding RNA, 482 nt
Organism: Canis lupus familiaris (dog)
Lineage: Eukaryota; Metazoa; Chordata; Mammalia; Carnivora; Canidae
Exons: 2
Source: RefSeq, a predicted model, not a curated record